This 484-nucleotide ribosomal RNA is filed under the name uncultured bacterium. RNAcentral's name for it is "partial 16S ribosomal RNA". It matches the Rfam family "Bacterial small subunit ribosomal RNA", at positions 30 to 507 of the family's 1533-position model. The record is from RNAcentral.
AUUGAACGCUGGCGGCAGGCCUAACACAUGCAAGUCGAGCGGAUGAAGGGAGCUUGCUCCUGGAUUCAGCGGCGGACGGGUGAGUAAUGCCUAGGAAUCUGCCUGGUAGUGGGGUAUAACGUCCGGAAACGGCCGCUAAUACCGCAUACGUCCUGAGGGAGAAAGUGGGGGAUCUUCGGACCUCACGCUAUCAGAUGAGCCUAGGUCGGAUUAGCUAGUUGGUGGGGUAAAGGCCUACCAAGGCGACGAUCCGUAACUGGUCUGAGAGGAUGAUCAGUCACACUGGAACUGAGACACGGUCCAGACUCCUACGGGAGGCAGCAGUGGGGAAUAUUGGACAAUGGGCGAAAGCAUGAUCCAGCCAUGCCGCGUGUGUGAAGAAGGUCUUCGGAUUGUAAAGCACUUUAAGUUGGGAGGAAGGGCAGUAAGUUAAUACCUUGCUGUUUUGACGUUACCAACAGAAUAAGCACCGGCUAACUUCGUG